RNAcentral lists this unclassified non-coding RNA (264 nucleotides) under Hevea brasiliensis (rubber tree). Lineage: Eukaryota; Viridiplantae; Streptophyta; Magnoliopsida; Malpighiales; Euphorbiaceae. The record is from RNAcentral.
CAGGCAUCAAAUUUCACACAUCAAAGGGUUAUUCAACGGCGUCAGUCUUCUCUGCUAUUUCGGUUCCAUUCUCCGCCGGCGACCAUGGUGAACGUUCCUAAAACGAAGAAGACAUACUGCAAGUCCAAGGAGUGCAAGAAGCACACCUUGCAUAAGGUGACGCAAUACAAGAAGGGAAAAGAUAGCUUAGCUGCUCAAGGAAAGCGUCGUUAUGAUCGUAAACAAUCAGGAUAUGGAGGACAGACCAAGCCUGUCUUUCAUAAG